GUGUCAGCCGCCGCGGUAAGACAGAGGGUGCAAACGUUGUUCGGAAUUACUGGGCGUAAAGCGAGUGUAGGCGGUCUCAUAAGUCGGGUGUGAAAGCCCUGGGCUCAACCCAGGAAGUGCACUCGAUACUGCGAGGCUAGAGUAUCGGAGAGGUUGGUGGAAUUCUCGGUGUAGAGGUGAAAUUCGUAGAUAUCGAGAGGAACACCGGUGGCGAAGGCGGCCAACUGGACGAAUACUGACGCUGAGACUCGAAAGCGUGGGGAGCAAACAGGAUUAGAAACCCUGGUAGUCC
RNAcentral lists this ribosomal RNA (292 nucleotides) under uncultured bacterium. Its description in RNAcentral is "partial 16S ribosomal RNA". It matches the Rfam family "Bacterial small subunit ribosomal RNA", at positions 505 to 796 of the family's 1533-position model. The record is from RNAcentral.